CUACGUGCCAGCAGCCGCGGUAAUACAUAGGUCGCAAGCGUUAUCCGGAAUUAUUGGGCGUAAAGCGUUCGUAGGCUGUUUAUUAAGUCUGGAGUCAAAUCCCAGGGCUCAACCCUGGCUCGCUUUGGAUACUGGUAAACUAGAGUUGGAUAGAGGUAAGCGGAAUUCCAUGUGAAGCGGUGAAAUGCGUAGAUAUAUGGAAGAACACCAAAGGCGAAGGCAGCUUACUGGGUCUAUACUGACGCUGAGGGACGAAAGCGUGGGGAGCAAACAGGAUUAGAUACCCUGGUAGUCCACGCCGUAAACGAUGAUCAUUAGUCGGUGGGAGCCACUGACGCAGCUAACGCAUUAAAUGAUCCGCCUGAGUAGUAUGCUCGCAAGAGUGAAACUUAAAGGAAUUGACGGGGACCCGCACAAGCGGUGGAGCAUGUGGUUUAAUUCGAUGCAACGCGAAGAACCUUACCUGGUCUUGACAU
RNAcentral lists this ribosomal RNA (476 nucleotides) under uncultured bacterium. RNAcentral's name for it is "bacterial SSU rRNA". It matches the Rfam family "Bacterial small subunit ribosomal RNA", at positions 501 to 987 of the family's 1533-position model. The record is from RNAcentral.